UAGCCGGUACUCGCGAUCUCUAGAUAAGAGUUUGAUCAUGGCUCAGNUUGAACGCUGGCGGCAGGCUUAACUCAUGCAAGUCGAGCGGGGAAAGGUAGCUUGCUACCUGACCUAGCGGCGGACGGGUGAGUAAUGCUUAGGAAUCUGCCUAUUAGUGGGGGACAACAUCUCGAAAGGGAUGCUAAUACCGCAUACGUCCUACGGGAGAAAGCAGGAGACCUUCGGGCCUUGCGCUAAUAGAUGAGCCUAAGUCAGAUUAGCUAGUU
RNAcentral lists this ribosomal RNA (266 nucleotides) under uncultured bacterium. RNAcentral's name for it is "partial 16S ribosomal RNA". It matches the Rfam family "Bacterial small subunit ribosomal RNA", at positions 1 to 250 of the family's 1533-position model. The record is from RNAcentral.